UACGAAGGGGGCUAGCGUUGUUCGGAAUUACUGGGCGUAAAGCGCGCGCGAGGCGGUCUUCCAAGUCAGUGGUGAAAGCCCGGAGCUCAACUCCGGAACUGCCAUUGAAACUGUAAGACUUGAGGACGAGAGAGGUGAGUGGAAUUCCCAGUGUAGAGGUGAAAUUCGUAGAUAUUGGGAAGAACACCAGUGGCGAAGGCGGCUCACUGGCUCGUAUCUGACGCUCAGGCGCGACAGCGUGGGGAUCAAACAGG
Molecule: ribosomal RNA, 254 nt
Filed under: uncultured bacterium
Lineage: Bacteria
Description: partial 16S ribosomal RNA
Rfam family: Bacterial small subunit ribosomal RNA
Source: RNAcentral